RNAcentral lists this ribosomal RNA (1656 nucleotides) under human gut metagenome. Its description in RNAcentral is "bacterial LSU rRNA". It matches the Rfam family "Bacterial large subunit ribosomal RNA", at positions 317 to 1973 of the family's 2925-position model. The record is from RNAcentral.
AUAGUACGAACUUUAGCCGAAAGGUCCUGGAAAGGCCUGCUAUAGAGGGUGAUAGCCCCGUAGGCGAAAGAGUUCGUAUGGUACUAAGGAAGCGAGAAGUAGAGCGGGACACGUGGAAUCCUGUUCGAAGACGGGGGGACCAUCCUCCAAGGCUAAAUACUCGUGAUCGACCGAUAGUGAACCAGUACCGUGAGGGAAAGGCGAAAAGAACCCCGGGAGGGGAGUGAAAUAGAACCUGAAACCGCAUGCAUACAAACAGUAGGAGCCUUUACGGAGGUGACUGCGUACCUUUUGCAUAAUGGGUCAGCGACUUACAUUCUGUGGCGAGCUUAACCGAAUAGGGGAGGCGCAGCGAAAGCGAGUUCGAAAUGAGCGUCCAGUCGCAGGGUGUAGACCCGAAACCAGAUGAGCUAUCCAUGGCCAGGUUGAAGGUGUGGUAACACACACUGGAGGACCGAACCGACUAGUGUUGCAAAAUUAGCGGAUGAGCUGUGGAUAGGGGUGAAAGGCCAAACAAAUCUGGAGAUAGCUGGUUCUCCCCGAAAACUAUUGAGGUAGUGCCUCGUGUGUCGCUCCAGGGGGUAGAGCACUGUUUUGGCUAGGGGGACAUGGAGUCUUACCAAACCAAGGCAAACUCCGAAUACCUGGAAGCGUGAGCACGGGAGACAGAGCACCGGGUGCUAACGUCCGGACUCAAAAGGGAAACAACCCAGACCGCCGGCUAAGGUCCCAAAUAACAGCUAAGUGGAAAACGAAGUGGAAAGGCCGUGACAACCAGGAAGUUGGCUUAGAAGCAGCCAUCCUUUAAAGAAAGCGUAAUAGCUCACUGGUCGAGUCCUUCUGCGCGGAAGAUGUAACGGGGCUAAGCUGUUAACCGAAGCCGCGGAUGCACUGGUAAUCCAGUGCGUGGUAGGGGAGCGUUCUGUAAGUCUGCGAAGGCGGUUCGAGAGGACUGCUGGAGAUAUCAGAAGUGCGAAUGCUGACAUGAGUAACGUUAAAGCAGGUGAAAAGCCUGCUCGCCGUAAGCCCAAGGAUUCCUGCUCUACGUUCAUCGGAGCAGGGUGAGUCGGCUCCUAAGGUCAGGCCGAAAGGCGUAGCCGAUGGGAAUCAGGUUAAUAUUCCUGAACCUGCGUCAGAUGCGAUGGGGGGACGGAGCAUGAAAGAUCAUCCGGGUGUUGGAAGUCCCGGUUGACGAGCGUAGGAGGUCUGCAGGCAAAUCCGCAGACGCAUCUCCAAGGCAAAGACACGUGCCGCCACGGCGGCGAAGUGAUCGGAAGUGCUUCCAAGAAAAGCCUCUAAGCCCCAGUCUGACGCGGACCGUACCGCAAACCGACACUGGUGGGCGAGCUGAAUAUGCUCAGGCGCUUGAGAGAACUCGGGAGAAGGAACUCGGCAAAUUGACACCGUAACUUCGGAAGAAGGUGUGCCGUAGUAGCGUGAGAGGAGAGACUCCUCGAGCGUGAAUCGGUCUCAGAGAAUAGGUGGCUGCGACUGUUUAUUAAAAACACAGCACUCUGCAAAGUCGAAAGACGACGUAUAGGGUGUGAUGCCUGCCCGGUGCUGGAAGAUUAAUUGAUGGGGUGAGAGCCCUUGAUCGAAGUCCCAGUAAACGGCGGCCGUAACUAUAACGGUCCUAAGGUAGCGAAAUUCCUUGUC